CGGACGGGUGAGUAAUGCUUGGGAAUCUGGCUUAUGGAGGGGGAUAACUACGGGAAACUGUAGCUAAUACCGCGUAAUAUCUUCGGAUUAAAGGGUGGGACUUUCGGGCCACCUGCCAUAAGAUGAGCCCAAGUGGGAUUAGGUAGUUGGUGGGGUAAAGGCCUACCAAGCCGACGAUCUCUAGCUGGUCUGAGAGGAUGACCAGCCACACUGGAACUGAGACACGGUCCAGACUCCUACGGGAGGCAGCAGUGGGGAAUAUUGCACAAUGGGGGGAACCCUGAUGCAGCCAUGCCGCGUGAAUGAAGAAGGCCUUCGGGUUGUAAAGUUCUUUCGGUGAUGAGGAAGGUGUUUGUUUUAAUAGAACAAGCAAUUGACGUUAGUCACAGAAGAAGCACCGGCUAACUCCGUGCCAGCAGCCGCGGUAAUACGGAGGGUGCGAGCGUUAAUCGGAAUGACUGGGCGUAAAGGGCACGCAGGCGGUGACUUAAGUGAGAUGUGAAAGCCCCGGGCUUAACCUGGGAAUUGCAUUUCAUACUGGGUCGCUAGAGUAUUUUAGGGAGGGGUAGAAUUCCACGUGUAGCGGUGAAAUGCGUAGAGAUGUGGAGGAAUACCGAAGGCGAAGGCAGCCCCUUGGGAAUAUACUGACGCUCAUGUGCGAAAGCGU
Molecule: ribosomal RNA, 667 nt
Filed under: uncultured Actinobacillus sp.
Lineage: Bacteria; Pseudomonadati; Pseudomonadota; Gammaproteobacteria; Pasteurellales; Pasteurellaceae
Description: bacterial SSU rRNA
Rfam family: Bacterial small subunit ribosomal RNA
Source: RNAcentral